Molecule: ribosomal RNA, 454 nt
Filed under: uncultured bacterium
Lineage: Bacteria
Description: partial 16S ribosomal RNA
Rfam family: Bacterial small subunit ribosomal RNA
Source: RNAcentral
GAUGAACGCUGACAGAAUGCUUAACACAUGCAAGUCAACUUGAACUUCGGUUUGGGUGGCGGACGGGUGAGUAACGCGUAAAGAACUUGCCUCACAGCUAGGGACAACAUUUGGAAACGAAUGCUAAUACCUGAUAUUAUGAUUAUAUGGCAUCGUAUAAUUAUGAAAGCUAUAUGCGCUGUGAGAGAGCUUUGCGUCCCAUUAGCUAGUUGGAGAGGUAACAGCUCACCAAGGCGAUGAUGGGUAGCCGGCCUGAGAGGGUGAUCGGCCACAAGGGGACUGAGACACGGCCCUUACUCAUAAGGGAGGCAGCAGUGGGGAAUAUUGGACAAUGGACCGAGAGUCUGAUCCAGAAAUUCUGUGUGCACGAUGAAGUUUUUCGGAAUGAAAAGUGCUUUCAGUUGGGAAGAAAAAAAUGACGGUACCAACAGAAGAAGUGACGGCUAAAUACGUG